Molecule: ribosomal RNA, 592 nt
Filed under: Listeria monocytogenes
Lineage: Bacteria; Bacillati; Bacillota; Bacilli; Caryophanales; Listeriaceae
Description: bacterial SSU rRNA
Rfam family: Bacterial small subunit ribosomal RNA
Source: RNAcentral
UUGAAAGAUGGUUUCGGCUAUCGCUUACAGAUGGGCCCGCGGUGCAUUAGCUAGUUGGUAGGGUAAUGGCCUACCAAGGCAACGAUGCAUAGCCGACCUGAGAGGGUGAUCGGCCACACUGGGACUGAGACACGGCCCAGACUCCUACGGGAGGCAGCAGUAGGGAAUCUUCCGCAAUGGACGAAAGUCUGACGGAGCAACGCCGCGUGUAUGAAGAAGGUUUUCGGAUCGUAAAGUACUGUUGUUAGAGAAGAACAAGGAUAAGAGUAACUGCUUGUCCCUUGACGGUAUCUAACCAGAAAGCCACGGCUAACUACGUGCCAGCAGCCGCGGUAAUACGUAGGUGGCAAGCGUUGUCCGGAUUUAUUGGGCGUAAAGCGCGCGCAGGCGGUCUUUUAAGUCUGAUGUGAAAGCCCCCGGCUUAACCGGGGAGGGUCAUUGGAAACUGGAAGACUGGAGUGCAGAAGAGGAGAGUGGAAUUCCACGUGUAGCGGUGAAAUGCGUAGAUAUGUGGAGGAACACCAGUGGCGAAGGCGACUCUCUGGUCUGUAACUGACGCUGAGGCGCGAAAGCGUGGGGAGCAAACAGGAUU